UACGUAGGGCGCAAGCGUUGUCCGGAUUUAUUGGGCGUAAAGAGCUCGUAGGCGGUCUGUCGCGUCGGCUGUGAAAACCCGAGGCUCAACCUCGGGCCUGCAGUCGAUACGGGCAGACUAGAGUGCGGUAGGGGAGACUGGAAUUCCUGGUGUAGCGGUGAAAUGCGCAGAUAUCAGGAGGAACACCGGUGGCGAAGGCGGGUCUCUGGGCCGUAACUGACGCUGAGGAGCGAAAGCGUGGGGAGCGAACGGG
This 253-nucleotide ribosomal RNA is filed under the name uncultured bacterium. Its description in RNAcentral is "partial 16S ribosomal RNA". It matches the Rfam family "Bacterial small subunit ribosomal RNA", at positions 524 to 776 of the family's 1533-position model. The record is from RNAcentral.